GCGGGUAACAAAGUUCUGGCCAAAAAUGUAAACAGAAGUGAUAUACAAAACCCAAUUCUCUCCAUCUCUUUCUUUCUUUCCCCUACAGGCUGGAACUUGGACAUUAUGGGUGAGCCAGCUGUGAUCAAAUGGGUGGUGAAAAUGCAGCAAUACAGACAAGGAACCUUGUCCUUGAAUAGCUUCAUGAAGGAGAUUGGCUUACCCACUCUGGACUACAAGUUUUUCUUGAAUUUGGGAUGUCUUACACAGAAGUUUAUCCAGAAUCCUGCCUAAUACAGAGCCUAAACUAAGAUAGCUGUAUUUGGCAAGAAAAAAAGAUGAAUCAUUUUAGAGUUUUAUAGGAAAUCAAAAUAAUAAGCCUAGGUGACUGAUGGUCUCUGUCAAGAACGGAAGAUGAGGUAAUGGAAAUGACCCUGAGGAUUUUAACUUAGAGAAUGGGAACGAGGGUAAUGCCAUUAAUCAAGUGAGAAAGACGUUUCUAUCAGGCAGGAGGAGUGGAAAGAUGAGUUAUGUUAUGAAUAUGCUAAAGUGGAGCUGCUCUGUGACGUCAAGGUGAAGAUUUCCAAUGAAUUUUCCAUUCCCUGCUUCCACUGGAACAGGUACAAGUGGAUUUGUGAUUUCUGCAUUUACCCUUAAGGUGUUCAACCUCACAGAUUUUCAAUCAAUGGAUGCCAGAGGAGCACAGUAGCAUUGUCACUGAUGAAUUUAUUUAAUAUGAAAAGAGGCCAAGAUGAAGAUUCUGGAGAUAAUUAAAUUGGAAUGCUAAGGUUAUUUAACAAUGACAUGCUAGAAUUGGUAGCCAAGCCUUUCACCACCAAUUCUAUCACCCGGUGCCAAAACUCUCCCAUUCCUGUCAGUGAAAGCACAAACCAACACUGUGGAGAUGCAGAGAAAUCUGGAGAAUUGGAGCAUAACAGAGUUAGAGAGUACAUUUUCCCCAGCAAGUGGAGAAUAUUAAGAGACUUGUUAUGAAGAGGCAAAGACAAGAGUCAUCACUGUCUAAAAAAUAUUUCUCUAAAUAACCCAAGCUCAAGUCACAUGCCCAUUAUUUCUUAGGACCACAGAAGAGUGCUGUAAAAAACUCCAUGUAAAGAGUCAUGUCUUGGCCGGGGAUAGUGGCUCGUGCCUGUAAUCCUAGCACUUUGGGAGGCUGAAGUGGGCAGAUCACUUCAGGUCAGGAGUUCAUGAUCAGCCUGGGCAACAGGACAAAGCCCC
RNAcentral lists this long non-coding RNA (1215 nucleotides) under Macaca mulatta (Rhesus monkey). RNAcentral describes it as "lncRNA (ENSMMUG00000057377.1)". Lineage: Eukaryota; Metazoa; Chordata; Mammalia; Primates; Cercopithecidae. The record is from RNAcentral.